AAAUUACAUGCCACAACAGCUGAUAAAGGAGGCAAAGACAAAUUCUGCGAAGAACACUAAUCUGUUAUAAAAUAGACCCAUAAGAAACAUAUACAUGUCAUAUCUGAAUGCCAAGAAGCCUGCAGAGAUUUUAUUGAAAAAAUGUGGACUAGGGAGUGGGGUGGGGGAGGAAGAAAUAGAAAAAAGAGGUACAGCCAACAACUGGCGUCCGGCUCUGUCGCUCUCUUUGCUUCCUUCCUCACCUGCUAAUUGGGCCGAGGCCAGUGGCCAGAGCAGAAUCCGCUCGCUAUGUCACCUGUUCUACUGGCCAGCGCAGCCGCCCUGUUCGUCUGUGACAUCACAGACCAUGUCCAGCGUGGCCUUUGGGUGCUCGGCUUCUCAUUGCCUCCUUCACCAUGCGUGGCUUGAUGUGGCUUUUCCGGUUUUUCGUGGGUUGCUCUGCCAUAUAUCCUACGGCAGCCCAUGUCCAGCCGGAGGAUGUGGCCCUCCUCCUGUCUUGGGGAAGCCUGGCCCUUAGCUCGGCCAUGGUGUUCCUGAUGGUGAUUGUUGUGAAGAAGCUCGGAAAGAAGCCCCCGUCGAAAGGGAUCCCUGAGAAAAAGGUGAAGGUCUUGUGGUGCAAAGUUUUGCUGAGGAUCCCAGGAAGGCCGGCCAGCUCAUCACCACGUGGGUGGCUUUUACUGGCUAAGAAAAAAAAAUUCCAAUUGAUUUUGAACAUGACAUUUAAAGGGCUUUUAAAGCCGGAAGAUGUGCUGGCGAGUCAAGAGGAGCUGCAAGGCCGCCUUUGGCAAACCUUCUCGCAGAUGGAGCAGGAGCUGGUGAAGCUGGUGACCCUGGUCCGGAGCCGUAAAGCGCGGCUGGCAGCGCGCCACCGCAGCUGCAAGGCCUCGGAGUGCCAGGAGGACAAAGAGAGCACUCUCAAGCCUUUCAACCUGGCAGUGUAUGAUAUUGUUGAGGAGGAUUAAGGGCCAUCAUCAUCUCUGGGGCCCGCUACGGAGAGAACGAGAGAAGGAAUAAAGCUGCCAGCAGAGCAAGUGGCGGUUGAGUU
RNAcentral lists this long non-coding RNA (1045 nucleotides) under Pogona vitticeps (central bearded dragon). RNAcentral describes it as "lncRNA (ENSPVIG00000019535.1)". The record is from RNAcentral. Lineage: Eukaryota; Metazoa; Chordata; Lepidosauria; Squamata; Agamidae.